GUGGGGAAUAUUGCGCAAUGGGCGAAAGCCUGACGCAGCGACGCCGCGUGAGGGAUGAAGGUUUUCGGAUCGUAAACCUCUGUCAGAAGGGAAGAAACUACAUUGUGCUAAUCAGCAGUGUACUGACGGUACCUUCAAAGGAAGCACCGGCUAACUCCGUGCCAGCAGCCGCGGUAAUACGGAGGGUGCAAGCGUUAAUCGGAAUUACUGGGCGUAAAGCGCACGUAGGCUGUAGUGUAAGUCAGGGGUGAAAUCCCACGGCUCAACCGUGGAACUGCCUUUGAUACUGCACAACUUGAAUCCGGGAGAGGGUGGCGGAAUUCCAGGUGUAGGAGUGAAAUCCGUAGAUAUCUGGAGGAACAUCAGUGGCGAAGGCGGCCACCUGGACCGGUACUGACGCUGAGGCGCGAAAGCGUGGGGAGCAAACAGGAUUAGAUACCCGAGUAGUCC
RNAcentral lists this ribosomal RNA (450 nucleotides) under uncultured bacterium. Its description in RNAcentral is "partial 16S ribosomal RNA". It matches the Rfam family "Bacterial small subunit ribosomal RNA", at positions 354 to 796 of the family's 1533-position model. The record is from RNAcentral.